This 460-nucleotide ribosomal RNA is filed under the name uncultured bacterium. RNAcentral's name for it is "partial 16S ribosomal RNA". It matches the Rfam family "Bacterial small subunit ribosomal RNA", at positions 338 to 795 of the family's 1533-position model. The record is from RNAcentral.
CCUACGGGAGGCAGCAGUGAGGAAUAUUGGUCAAUGGGCGCGAGCCUGAACCAGCCAAGUAGCGUGAAGGAUGACUGCCCUACGGGUUGUAAACUUCUUUUAUAAAGGAAUAAGGUGAGGCACGUGUGCCUUUUUGUAGGGACUUUAUGAAAAAGGAUCGGCUAACUCCGUUCCAGCAGCCGCGGUAAUACGGAGGAGACGAGCGUUAUCCGGAUUUAUUGGGUUUAAAGGGAGCGUAGAUGGGUUGUUAAGUCAGUUGUGAAAGUUUGCGGCUCAACCGUAAAAUUGCAAUUGAUACUGGCAGCCUUGAGUACAGUUGAGGUAGGCGGAAUUCGUGGUGUAGCGGUGAAAUGCUUAGAUAUCACGAAGAACUCCGAUUGCGAAGGCAGCUUACUAAACUGCCACUGACAUUGAUGCUCGAAAGUGUGGGUAUCAAACAGGAUUAGAUACCCCUGUAGUC